UACAGAGGUGGCAAGCGUUGUUCGGAGUUACUGGGCGUAAAGCGUGCGUAGGCGGUUUUGUAAGUUUGGUGUGAAAUCUCCCGGCUCAACUGGGAGGGUGCGCCGAAAACUGCAAGGCUGGAGUGUGGGAGAGGUAGGCGGAAUUCCUGGUGUAGCGGUGAAAUGCGUAGAUAUCAGGAGGAACACCUGUGGUGUAGACGGCUUACUGGACCAUGACUGACGCUGAGGCACGAAAGCGUGGGGAGCAAACAGG
This 253-nucleotide ribosomal RNA is filed under the name uncultured bacterium. RNAcentral describes it as "partial 16S ribosomal RNA". It matches the Rfam family "Bacterial small subunit ribosomal RNA", at positions 524 to 776 of the family's 1533-position model. The record is from RNAcentral.